This 468-nucleotide ribosomal RNA is filed under the name uncultured bacterium. Its description in RNAcentral is "partial 16S ribosomal RNA". It matches the Rfam family "Bacterial small subunit ribosomal RNA", at positions 28 to 507 of the family's 1533-position model. The record is from RNAcentral.
GACGAACGCUGGCGGCGUGCUUAACACAUGCAAGUCGAACGUAAAGGCCCUGCUUUUGUGGUUUGCUCGAGUGGCGAACGGGUGAGUAACACGUGCGUAUCCUGCCCUUGACUUUGGGAUAACUUCAUGAAACUUGGGCUCAUACCGGAUUGGAGCUCCUGCUGCCUGGUGGGGGUUGGAGCGUUUGGGCGGUUGGGGAUGGACUCGCGGCUUAUCAGCUUGUUGGUGGGGCAGUGGCUUACCAAGGCUUUGACGGGUAGCCGGCCUGAGAGGGCUACCGGCCACAUUGGGACUGAGAUACGGCCCAGACUCCGACGGGAGGCAGCAGUGGGGAAUAUUGCACAAUGGGCGGAAGCCUGAUGCAGCAACGCCGCGUGCGGGAUGACGGCCGUCGGGUUGUAAACCGCUUUCGCCUGUGACGAAGCGUGAGUGACGGUAAUGGGUAAAGAAGCACCGGAUAACUACGUG